GAUGAACGCUGGCGGCGUGCCUAAUACAUGCAAGUCGAGCGAACGGACGAGAAGCUUGCUUCUCUGAUGUUAGCGGCGGACGGGUGAGUAACACGUGGAUAACCUACCUAUAAGACUGGGAUAACUUCGGGAAACCGGAGCUAAUACCGGAUAAUAUUUUGAAACGAAUGGUUCAAAAGUGAAAGACGGUCUUGCUGUCACUUAUAGAUGGAUCCGCGCUGCAUUAGCUAGUUGGUAAGGUAACGGCUUACCAAGGCAACGAUGCAUAGCCGACCUGAGAGGGUGAUCGGCCACACUGGAACUGAGACACGGUCCAGACUCCUACGGGAGGCAGCAGUAGGGAAUCUUCCGCAAUGGGCGAAAGCCUGACGGAGCAACGCCGCGUGAGUGAUGAAGGUCUUCGGAUCGUAAAACUCUGUUAUUAGGGAAGAACAUAUGUGUAAGUAACUGUGCACAUCUUGACGGUACCUAAUCAGAAAGCCACGGCUAACUACGUG
RNAcentral lists this ribosomal RNA (497 nucleotides) under uncultured bacterium. Its description in RNAcentral is "partial 16S ribosomal RNA". It matches the Rfam family "Bacterial small subunit ribosomal RNA", at positions 28 to 507 of the family's 1533-position model. The record is from RNAcentral.